GACGAACGCUGGCGGCGUGCCUAAUACAUGCAAGUUGAGCGCUGAAGGUUGGUACUUGUACCAACUGGAUGAGCAGCGAACGGGUGAGUAACGCGUGGGGAAUCUGCCUUUGAGCGGGGGACAACAUUUGGAAACGAAUGCUAAUACCGCAUAAAAACUUUAAACACAAGUUUUAAGUUUGAAAGAUGCAAUUGCAUCACUCAAAGAUGAUCCCGCGUUGUAUUAGCUAGUUGGUGAGGUAAAGGCUCACCAAGGCGAUGAUACAUAGCCGACCUGAGAGGGUGAUCGGCCACAUUGGGACUGAGACACGGCCCAAACUCCUACGGGAGGCAGCAGUAGGGAAUCUUCGGCAAUGGACGAAAGUCUGACCGAGCAACGCCGCGGGAGUGAAGAAGGUUUUCGGAUCGUAAAACUCUGUUGGUAGAGAAGAACGUUGGUGAGAGUGGAAAGCUCAUCAAGUGACGGUAACUACCCAGAAAGGGACGGCUAACUACGCG
RNAcentral lists this ribosomal RNA (497 nucleotides) under uncultured bacterium. RNAcentral's name for it is "partial 16S ribosomal RNA". It matches the Rfam family "Bacterial small subunit ribosomal RNA", at positions 28 to 507 of the family's 1533-position model. The record is from RNAcentral.